RNAcentral lists this transfer RNA (84 nucleotides) under Negativibacillus massiliensis. Its description in RNAcentral is "tRNA-Leu". RNAcentral also lists the same sequence under 2 other names. Lineage: Bacteria; Bacillati; Bacillota. The record is from RNAcentral.
GCGAGUGUGCUGGAAUAGGCAGACAGGCACGUUUGAGGGGCGUGUGUCUUUGACGUACGAGUUCAAGUCUCGUCACUCGCACCA